Molecule: ribosomal RNA, 253 nt
Filed under: uncultured bacterium
Lineage: Bacteria
Description: partial 16S ribosomal RNA
Rfam family: Bacterial small subunit ribosomal RNA
Source: RNAcentral
UACGUAGGGUGCGAGCGUUGUCCGGAAUUAUUGGGCGUAAAGAGCUCGUAGGCGGUCUGUCGCGUCUGUUGUGAAAACUCGAGGCUCAACCUCGGGCUUGCAGUGGAUACGGGCAGACUAGAGUGCGGUAGGGGAGACUGGAAUUCCACGUGUAGCGGUGAAAUGCGUAGAUAUGUGGAAGAACACCGGUGGCGAAGGCGAUUUUCUAUCUUAUACCUGACGCUGAGGCGCGAAAGCAAGAGGAUCAAACAGG